Carassius gibelio (silver crucian carp) is the source of this 2826-nucleotide long non-coding RNA. RefSeq lists it as uncharacterized. The record is from RefSeq and is a predicted model, not a curated record. NCBI's taxonomy places the organism in Eukaryota, Metazoa, Chordata, Actinopteri, Cypriniformes, Cyprinidae. The transcript has 3 exons.
CAUAUGGCGUUACAUUUUAGUCAAAAGUUAUGAGCGUGUAAGACAUGCUCACGAGCACAUUAUGUUAUUUCACACGCGCAAAAAUGAACCUUCAGCUGGCAUGAUAAAAGUACUCGCGCACAAAUUCAACAACCGAGAGGUGUGCAUGUAGCUGCGAGCGAGCGCCUGGCAUACUCGCAUAGGUUAACUCUGCUUGUGCAGUGGAAUCCUGCUCGCGCGUAGCGGGCUUCUGCUCGCGGAGUGCUGUUUUGGUCGCGCGGUGGAUUUCUGCUCGCUCGAGUCUACAUGACUUUUGACAAUUUGGGGGCGGAAACCAAGGAGGGAACUGACCCUCUUAUGAUUGGUCACUUUCACACAGGGACAUCCUUGUACCUUGAUUGACAGCUCUCAUUACAGGAAGCACAGAGUUGGGUUAAGUUACCACCGAAGAAGAGUGGGAAUGAAUUAGAAUGAGUUUUCUAACAUACAUUAAAUGUCUCUGCACUUAUAAAAUGCUGCGCUGAUCAUAGUUAGAUCAAUUACCAUCGAUGAAUAUACACUCUAGAAACGGUUGGGUCAUUUUGUUGGGUUAUUUUAUUUCUUUUUAAACACUUUUGGGUAGUUUCAGAUUUACCACGUGUUGGGUUAAACCUGCUGGGUUGCGUCGCUGGGUUGUUUCAGGUCAGCGCUGGGGUAAUUUAACACGCCUUGAAGAUCGCUCCCCAACUGUCAUUUUGGAAGAACAACGGGGAAAAGCCAUGGCUUUCAACGGUUUUAAGAAAAGCACAUGGAUACACUUGUGAGAGAAAAACUCUUCGAGUGCAGUCUUAUUGAGUCUUCUAACGGUUGGAACAAACAUGGAAUUCUUUAACUGAGCAGAGUCCACAAAACCCCAUCCAAUUGUCGUGGUGAUUUAAAAAUGCCAGCAGAUCUCUCAGACAUCGAUCAUAAUUAAAGGACAGGUAAGGAUAUUUUGGACAAUUUUCAAAAGGAAUUGCAAAUUGUAUAUUUAAUUGCAUUUUUCCACAUGUGGACGCAUACAUUGUGACAGUCCAAACGCAAUUGAAACGCAUUUGAAUUUCAGAUGCUUUACACAGAAAGCUGUCAAUUUGUGUCAAGCGUGGGACUAUAUUAUGGGGCAUGUUUGUAUUGGGAGAUAUUUAGUAGUUUUUACCCCAAAUCUCUCACUGUUUCCACUCUGAUGCACGUCAGCAAAACAAUAUUGCAGUUCAAUUACUUUACCAAUUUACCUAUUUCCCUCUUACCCUAUAUUUUAUUCAUCAGGUGAAAAGCAUUUUGCACAAUUGUCUUUGAGUGACGUCACCUCCCACUACAAACACUCUCCAUAGUAUGGUCCCACCUCUGACAAAAAUUGACAGCUUUUAAUGUGAGGCAUUGGAAAUUCAGAUACUAAAGUAAUUGCAAUUCCAUUUGAGUUUUGGCAGGGAACAUGUGCGACACAGUGAACAAACAGACAUGGUAAUUCAUAAAACCUCAUGUACUUGUUCUUAUGAUGCAUCUAUGCUAACAUUAGUCUGUUUCUCUCUUAUUCCGAGGUCACUGUUGCCACCAGAUCCAUUCUGAGUCCAGAUCAGAGGGUCACUGCAGUCUCCCGGAUCCAGUACGUAUCCAGACCAGAUGGUGGAUCAGCACCUAGAAAGGACCUCUACAUCCCUGAAAGACAGCGGAGACCAGGACAACUAGAGCCCCAGAUACAGAUCCCCUGUAAAGACCUUGUCUCAGAGGAGCACCAGGACAAGACCACAGGAAACAGAUGAUUCUUCUGCACAAUCUGACUUUGCUGCAGCCUGGAAUUGAACUGCUGGUUUCCUCUGCUCAGAUGAGAACUGACCCCCAACUGAGCCUGGUUUCUCCCAAGGUUUUUUUCUCCAUUCUGUCACCGAUGGAGUUUCGGUUCCUUGGUUUUCCUUAGUUGGAGACAAUUAAUAUCAAGCGAUAUCAUUGACUUGAUUGCACAGAGGGACGAUACAUCACUGAAUCAGUGAUGAACUGACUUUAACUGAAAACUGAGUGUUUACUGUUGUCCCUUUGCAUUAUUACACACUAUUUUCCUAUUUAAUAUUGUAAAGCUACUAUGAUGCAGUAUUUGUUUAAUAUGACAGGCUUAUUAGUCAUAACACAUGGAAAAUACAGCUGCAAACGGACUUUGCUUUUUCAUUUGAAAUUUGGCAGUCCCUGUGCAUUCAUGAAAACGGAAACAGUAAUUUUUGUUCAGUGUUUUUGAAACAGUGUUUUUGUUCAAGAUUUGCAAUUGUGUUUGGAUUAUGUCACAAUGUGUCACAUGUGGAAAACGCAAUUGAACAUAUAAUUUGCAAUUCCUUUUGAAAAUUAUCCUUCCGUUGACAGGCUCUAUAGCAGAGUACACUGCUCUCAGGUGUAGAUCUUUGCUAAGUGUUUGACAAUAGUACACCCAAAAAUGAAAAUUGUCAUUAAUUAUUCACCCUGGUCUGAAAGCUCUGGUCUGAAAGCUCUCGAAAUUGACUUGUGUUCUGAAGAUGAACGAAGGUCUUACGGGUUUGUAACGACAUGAUAUAAAUUUAUAAUAUACAUUUUAGGACAUCUUUAAAUGAUUUUACAUUUAAAUUUAAAAAAUGUUAAUUGUCAAUGUAAUUUCACUGUGUAUUUAAAUAGCUAAACAUGUAAAAAUGUAAUAGUUAAACAGCUAGACACCGGUUAUUCAGAAAUAAUUUUCUUAUUUAUUGCAACUGUAUUUGUUUUGUUUUUUUGUUUUUGUUUUUGGAUUUGCUGGAAACAAAAAAAAGAAGGGAAAAUUGCAUGUUGUUUGUCAUUGGUACAAAUUUGUGAAUGUCAGAUUCCAUUAAAAUU